AUACGGAGGGGGCUAGCGUUGUUCGGAAUUACUGGGCGUAAAGCGCUCGUAGGCGGCUUGUAAAGUCGGAUGUGAAAUCCCCGGGCUCAACCUGGGAACUGCAUUCGAAACUGGCAGGCUAGAGUGUAGUAGAGGCAAGUGGAAUUCCGGGUGUAGCGGUGAAAUGCGUAGAUAUCCGGAGGAACAUCAGUGGCGAAGGCGACUUGCUGGACUAAUACUGACGCUGAGGAGCGAAAGCGUGGGGAGCAAACGGGAUUAGAAACCCCGGUAGUCC
RNAcentral lists this ribosomal RNA (274 nucleotides) under uncultured bacterium. RNAcentral's name for it is "partial 16S ribosomal RNA". It matches the Rfam family "Bacterial small subunit ribosomal RNA", at positions 523 to 796 of the family's 1533-position model. The record is from RNAcentral.